AGUAAUUGCGAAUGAACAAGGAUAUGCUUAGCUUGACAAAUGGAGCUAUUGGCUUUGAAUUGUAUUGUGGAAAUGUAUUACCAACAGAGGUGCAGGUGCCAGCCUAUUGAAAUAAAGCGUCAAUGAGGGUGAGAAUCCUGUUUGUCAUGUGCAGCCCUUUGUGCACGGUGUAUAUUUGCUGAGUCACACUCCUUGGCAUUGGAAUGCAAAGUGGGUGGUAAGUUUCAUGUAAAGGUAAACAUGCAAUUGAGACUGAUAGCACACAAGUACCAUGAGGGAAAUAUGAAAAGGACUUUGAAAAGAGAAUUAAAUGAGUUUGUAUUUGCUGAACACAAAGUAAACAGACUUGAUUUGCUUGGUGGGAGUGUUGCACUUGCUUGACAAGAGCUUUGGGCUGUGGGUGUAAUGAUUCUUUCUUUGCAUGCCAGUUUCUAUUUGUACAUCUGAUUACCUUUGCACAUGAAUGAUAAGUCUCCUGUGGGGGGUGGAUUGCAUGUGCAUGUAAUGAUUUGUGUUUUGAUAAAUGUGUCUGGUGUAUGUGUGUGUUCCUGUGCUUGGGGAUGCUUCCUUCCUUGGACUUACAAGCCCUGACACACACAUGCUGGCAAAAUGCUUCUGCUUGACCCGUCUUGAAACACGGACCAAGGAGUCUAACAGAUGUGCAAAGUUUGAAGGUGGUAUACCUUUGUGUGCAAUGAAAGUGUCAGCUGGGGAUAUGUGCACCAGCACCCAAUUAAUUAGCGGGACAGAGGUUUGAGUUGGAGCAUAUCUAUUAGGACCCGAAAGAUGGUGAACUAUGCCUGAACAGAAUGAAUUCAGAGGAAACUCUGAUGGAGGUUCGUAUCGAUACUGACGUGCAAAUCGUUCGUCAUAUUUGGGUAUAGGGGCGAAAGACUAAUCGAACCAUCUAGUAGCUGGUUCCCUCCGAAGUUUCCCUCAGGAUAGCUGGAGUUGCUCAGUUUUAUCAGGUAAAGCGAAUGAUUAGAGGAAUUGGGGACAGGUUUGUCUUUGACCUAUUCUCAAACUUUAAAUGGGUAAUAUGUAGUGGUUGCUGUAUGGAACUUCUAAGAUAAAUGGCAAUAUUGGGUGGGCCAUUUUUGGUAAGCAGAACUGGCGAUGAGGGAUGAACCUAAUGUGGGGCUAAGGUGCUUAAUUACUUGCUCAUUUGAUACCAGAAAGGGUGUUGGUUCAUUUUAACAGCAGGACGG
RNAcentral lists this ribosomal RNA (1208 nucleotides) under Alexandrium fundyense. RNAcentral's name for it is "eukaryotic LSU rRNA". It matches the Rfam family "Eukaryotic large subunit ribosomal RNA", at positions 82 to 1248 of the family's 3401-position model. Lineage: Eukaryota; Dinophyceae; Gonyaulacales; Pyrocystaceae. The record is from RNAcentral.